AAGUCGUAACAAGGUUUCCGUAGGUGAACCUGCGGAAGGAUCAUUAUCACGUAUCCACGUAUAAACCAAUUCGUGAACUGUCAACACUCAACCUCUGAGCUAUCGGUCGCUAUCAUGAAACUAUGGACGCAUUGUAUGAUUAGGCGUUCUCAUGAUAAUCAAGCCUGUCUCUUCAGAGUGUAUUAAUCAUACUUUUAACAUUAACCACUUGAACCUUUUAUAAAUUUCUUUGUUUGAACUGAUUUGUUUCUUACUCGGCCGUCAAACGCUGAGAAGAAAUCGAAUACGAAACAAAAAAGAACAACUCUUAGCAACGGAUAUCUUGGUUCUC
Molecule: unclassified non-coding RNA, 331 nt
Filed under: fungal sp.
Lineage: Eukaryota; Fungi
Description: partial internal transcribed spacer region
Rfam family: Eukaryotic small subunit ribosomal RNA (bases 1-46)
Source: RNAcentral